UUUUCGCGCGAUCGCCUUGAGUUGAUCAUGGCUCAGAACGAACGCUGGCGGCGUGGAUAAGACAUGCAAGUCGAACGAGGUCCGAAGUUCCCGCAAGGGAAUUUCGGACUUAGUGGCGAACGGGUGCGUAACACGUGGGCAAUCUGCCGAAAAGUGGGGGAUAGCUCGCCGAAAGGCGAAUUAAUACCACAUGUGGUGAGGGACGACAUCUUCCUGAAUCCAAAGCCGGGGCAACCUGGCGCUUUUUGAGGAGCCCGCGGCCUAUCAGCUAGUUGGUGAGGUAACGGCUCACCAAGGCUAUGACGGGUAGCUGGUCUGAGAGGACGACCAGUCACACUGGAACUGAGACACGGUCCAGACACCUACGGGUGGCAGCAGUCGAGAAUUUUUCUCAAUGGGGGAAACCCUGAAGGAGCGACGCCGCGUGGAGGAUGAAGGCUUUCGGGUUGUAAACUCCUGUCAUUUGGGAACAAGGUGCAACGGUUAACUGCCGUUGUAUUGAUAGUACCAGAAGAGGAAGAGACGGCUAACUCUGUGCCAGCAGCCGCGGUAAUACAGAGGUCUCAAGCGUUGUUCGGAUUCAUUGGGCGUAAAGGGUGCGUAGGUGGCGCUGUAAGUCGGGUGUGAAAUUUCGGAGCUUAACUCCGAAACUGCAUUCGAUACUGCGGUGCUUGAGGACUGGAGAGGAGACUGGAAUUCAUGGUGUAGCAGUGAAAUGCGUAGAGAUCAUGANGAAGACCAGUGGCGAAGGCGGGUCUCUGGACAGUUCCUGACACUGAGGCACC
Molecule: ribosomal RNA, 785 nt
Filed under: uncultured bacterium
Lineage: Bacteria
Description: bacterial SSU rRNA
Rfam family: Bacterial small subunit ribosomal RNA
Source: RNAcentral